AGAAGCAGCAGUAAAUCUCCAAGGUGAUGUAUUCUCAGUCAACUCCAAUUAAAGCAAAGAUUAGUUUAUACAAUGGGAAUAAAAUGCGAGUUGAAUUCUUCUUAUUCCAGCAUCUAUUAUGGGCCCAUACACCGCUAAAGGUACAAAAUUCCCUAUCGUUGCUUUCAAUUUUUGCACAGGUCCAACCCCAAAAAGUAAAAGAGACACGGUGAAUCAAAACCAACCAAAAAAUAUUUGGCAGUGCAAUUUGGGCCCACUCAGUUGCCAAGCCUAAUGAGCCCAUCAAAUCAUCAUGCUUUAACGAUGGAGAUUGGCUUUACCACUUUGCAAAUUCUCAAGUCCAUAUUAGUUUAGUUCUCAACUCGUUUCUCUUUAACUUGCGGAAAGAAACAGAAAAUAGUAUAUUAACUGGCAGUAAAAAUUUGAAAACAUGAGAUUAUUCAACGGGUUCGUGUUUCUCAGAUUGUAGAGCAACAUGUCAUUGUGAAUCAACUGGCUCAGAACAGAAAAUUCAUUAAAUAGUUUUGAAAAUUCUACAAAAUCAAGAACUAUCUUUUAAGACAUGAAAAGUCUGACAAAAUCUAUCUUCCGAAGAUAAAAGUAUCUGGACAUCGAUCAACGGUUCUCGAAACAUUCCUCUUAUCGAGUAAAAACUGACGAUAAGUUUUUUCGAUAACACAAGUUGGAACAAAUUUGGCAUGACCAAAUUUCAAGCAAACUAAUAACAAAUGAGAGCUGGGAUCCUGCAAGCGGAGGCACAAACUUAAAAGCAAAAUGAUGUUUAACUGAUCAGAAAAAAUCACUAGUACAUUGAAAAUAUUUCCUCAAAUCAUGUCGAGCUGUGUAACUCGAGUGAAUCAGGUUUAUGCAAAACAAAAUUUCCAUCCAAAACUAAAUUGUUCAGGGGGUUCUUGCUCCCCCCAAAAGAGUGAAUUAUUAAAGAAGACUCCUCUGCCGGAAAAAUUCUCUGAGUAUCAGAUUUUCAUCAAUAUCUAAAGCUAAAAAAACCAAAGGGAAUAUGCCUUAGGCACCGCCAGAGCCAUAUUUCUUCCCAAAGACAAUUAACUGCAAUUUGUCAUAACCAGCAAGCACACCGGCACCUGCAACAGCUCGGAGGAUGUUUGCUCCAGCACCCUUGAAGAGAGACUUAGCACCCUCAUUCUUCAGGAUCUGAGAGAAUGCAUCAAGAGAGCUCUUGUACUUGACAGCCUCACCAGAUGUCAUCAUCAUCCUUCUACGGACAGUGUCAAUUGGGUAGGAAGCAAGACCAGCACCAUUAGUGAUGAGCCACCCAAGGGCGAAGCUAGCAAAGAAACUAUCCUGAAAUAACCAACACCAGAAAAUAUGUCAAGAACAUGAAAAGAUAAGGUUGAUUAUUCCAUUAAUCAAAACAGUAUAAAUGCUUAAGAUUGCCCCCACUGUGUAAUUCCAUCCCACUAAUUUUACACAAACGAUGAAUCAAAAUCUAAAACAUUCUACAUGAAAACCAACUUGCUUGCAUCCACUGACUUAAGACUUCCUAGAACAAAACACAAGAAUCUAGAUCACCACUCAACUAACAUUGAAAAUGAAAACAUCACUCAGUCUCAAAGGAAGGCAAAAGAUGCAUAACUUGAUUAAAACAAGAAGUGUGUAACAUCCGUUCUAAACAACAACUUUGGAAAAUGAUCGAAAAGUCAAACAGGACAAAAAAAAGGUUUGGAAAUCAUAACAAAUCACAUCCAAGGUACUUGCCUGCAAUAAUUAUUGCUAUAAAAGAAAAAUAAGUAGGUUAAAGGGGCACCACAUGAAUUUCAACAUGCAAAUAUUGCUGCACUGAAACCAUGAUUAAUACCCAUUGCCAAUGUACAAGCAAACAGAAAUUGCAAUAAUAAAAUAUAAUGUAUAAAUAUAAGCCUAUUCUCUACCAAAUAAUCACAUAAAUCAAUAAACAAAACAUAUCAAAUUAAUGUACCCACCUGCAACUUUCCAGUCAAGACCACUGGCUUCAGAGAAUCAUACAUGCCAAAGUAAAGACCACGGUACACAAUGAUUCCAACACAUGAAAUGUUGAAACCACGGUAAAGCCCAGCAAUGCCAUCAGAUUUCAAUGUCUUUCUGUAGACAUCAACCAGCCCAUUGAAUUGCCUCUCUCCUCCCUUCUUCGCAGCUUUGGCAUCAUUGGCCAGACGGGUACGAGCAUAGUCCAAGGAGUAAACAAAGAGAAGGGAUGAAGCACCAGCAGCACCUCCUGAUCCCAAAUUACCAGCAAACCAUUUCCAGUAACCAUCCCUGUCUUUCUUGAAGUUGAAGAGCCUCUUGAAGUAAUCCUUGAAUGCAAAGUUCAGGGCCUGAUACAAAAUUUGAGAUAAAUAUGAGCAUAAAAUUAGUCAGGAAACAUACAUUAAAUAAAUAGUUUUAACAAAAGGUUACCUGAGUGGGGAAGUAACGGAUAACAUUAGCGGUAUUUCCUCUCCACAAAGCAACAAUACCCUCAUCCUUCAUUGUACGCUUAAAACAAUCACCAAUGCCCUUGUAGGGUUCAGAUAGCCUACCACUCUUGAUCAUCUCAUCUUGGUUUUGAAUCAAAAGCUUAACACGCUCAAUGGGAGCAGCAGCUGUUUUGGACACAGCAGCAGAAACUCCACCCAUAAGGAAAUCAAUAGCAAAGCCUGCAAAGCCUUUCUCAGCUGGGGCUUGGACGCAAAUAGCAGAUGCAGUUGACGGCACCAUAGAUAGAUCGGUUGUAGCUGCACUGACUAUGGGGUAUUGGAAUGCAGCAUUGGAGUAGUUCCCAUAAGCACCACGUCUUUGGUACAUGGUUGGCCUUUCAUAAUCCUGAAUAUUUUGGGAAAGGCUGGAAUGAAGGAGCUGUCCAGCUACCUUCUGCAUGACGGAAGGAUGUUGAACCUGAUCAAUCAUUGUGACUUUUCCUGCAGAAUUGAAACAAACUUUCAUUCAAAAAUUGGGUUGAUACAAUGUAGAAACCUACGCAUAUCAAUUCAUAACACACCAACAAGCAAUCGUAAAUGUGCUAAAAUAGUUCAUAAGCGGAACAAAAGACCUCUUAGCAAUUACAAAAAGUUAUCAAGAAUGUUAAUUGGAGUAAAAUAUCAGAGUGAACAAGAACCCGUUAAGCAAUCAUUGAAAGAUACAUUAUCACGAUUUUCAAAUAAGCUCUCAAAUGUUGACUGGGGAAUAAUAUAAAAGGUAAUGUAAAAUUUCAAAAAGGUGUGUCUAGUUGUUGUGCUAACAAUAACCUACGAUGAUCUAGAAACCAGCACUUGUGAUAUGGGAAACAAAUACAUAUCAUCUAUCUAAUUUUAUGACUGAAUCCUCCCAAGUUAAAAGUAGCACUAUUGCCUACGACGUAAGGAAAAGCAACAUCCGAACAGCAAACUUAUCACGACAAGAAAACAACAGAAGCAUAAACAGAUCUGAAUCCUCCAUACAGUAAGACCGCAUGAUUGUGAUCUGAACAUAACAAAAACUUGAGAAACUAUGAAUAUUGAGAAAAUUCUAAAUGUAGCACUCAGCAUAUUUGAUUAGUCACGCUAACACUCACAAAAACUUCCCGAUCAAAUAUUGUGUAAAAUAGAUCUAGACAAGUAUAUAACUAAUUAAUUAACAAAUUUAAAGACAAUCUGUGACAAAUUUUGGAAAAAAAAGAAAGAAUGAAACACAAAAAACACAAAAUGACAAAAUAAUAAAAAUCAUAGAACCACAUACAAGAGAUAACAAUAGAUCUAUUUAAUCUCAUUGACUAAUAAUAAGAUCUGAACAAGCUUACAAAUAAAAAUUACGCUCAACUAAAUUUCAGCAAAGACAAAGAUCUAACAAACUAUUAAGCAUGUCAUUCACGCGCGUUUCAAAGAAGCAUUAAAAAAAAAACAUUAGCAGAUCUGAAGCAGAAACGAGUCGACAACCAAGUAAAAUAACAGAUCUGAUAGAAUGAGAUCGGACGGUGGAGAGUGAUUAAUGUGUUUACCUUUGAAAAAUGACAGAUUGGUGUCCGCCUCCCGCUCUGCUUAGAAAGGAAAGGCGUGCGAAAAGCGAGAGAAGCAGAGAUAUUUUGCUAUUUUGUGGUUGGAGGCCGGCGUGCUUUGAAAUGAGCAAUACUCGCUUUUUAUUGCCGCUACAUGUGCGGUUUUGCAUGCUUUCACGCGUGUGAGGGUGAGAGGGGGGGUUAUUCGUUGUAUCCGGCGGGCUACGUGCGGGAUUUCUGGAGCGUUGAAUUUGAAUAUUAGAUGCGUCUAUUACCGUCUAUCUUCGUUCUCAUUUGUAGGCCUUGACCUAAGUGAAAAUUUUGAAAAGUUGACUUGUUGAUUAAAAAGCAGCUUGACGGUGACGUUUUGAUGCAAUUUUGCUUGUGAUCAUUUGCGCGGUGGCUAAUAGAUAUCCCAUGUGGGUGAGCUAAGACUUUUCUUUUUUCCGCCUUUUUUUAGAAGGUGAGCUACAGUACUUAAUUUAGACCUAGCAAAAUUUGUGAGCGCUUAAUUAUUUGAUACGAAUACAACAUAAAUAAAUAUUAUUAAAUUUGAUAAAUUUAUUAAAUAAGUAGAGUUUGAGUCGACGCGAUUUGUUCUGAUGUCUGGUUAGAGUUAAGGUUAUUGAUCUAUUUGUUUGAUUAAUGACAAGAUUAUAUUUUGUAUUCUAAAUUAAUUUGUAAGUUCUUGUCAUCAAAACUCAUAUAUUAGACAUGAUUUUUUUUUAUAAGGAUAAACAUAUACAUAGUUUUUCAUUUAUAAAAUUUUAUUUAAUUUUAAAAUUACAAUUGUAUAAAUGUAUAAAAUAUUAGUAGACAUGUUUGUUCUAUAAUAUUGAUAUAUAAGCUUGAUUUGUCAAUUUUGUGUCUAAAAAGGAGAAAAGUGGAAAUUGAAACUUAAUUCAGGAAUCAGGCUGAUUGAGGAGAUCCGAUUACUCUUCAGCCUCGUUUUGUUAUUGUUUUAUUUAUUUAUUUAUUUAUUUUUAAUUGCAACAUUACAAAUCUUCUAAUGCCUCAUAUUAUAAAAUCUAUUAAAACUUUCUAAAAUAAUUAUAAUAUACCUUUUUAGAUUAUUAAUUUUAUACAAAACAAUUUCAAUAUAAGCUCUUAGAAAUACUCAAUUAAAACUUAAGAAACCAAAGACUAAGUGUGUGUUUGGUAAUGUUUUUCAAAUUCUAUUUUCUGUUUUUUGAAUUCAGAAAACACCAAGUACGUGUCUGGCAGAUUGUUUCUGAAAAUAUUUUUAAAAAUAUAAAAUUCAUUAUAAACUUUUAACAAAGGAAAUAAGAAAACAACUUUUUCUUAGUUUCCUUAUUUCCCAGUACAGUAUUAAAUUUCAAAAUGAACAACUUCAUCAUCUCUCAAAAUAAUAAUAAUAUCAACAACAAGUUGUUGUCGUCGUUAUCACCAUCUAAAAAAUCAAUUUCCUCAAAAUAAUCUUUUCUUUUUACAAACAUUAUGAUAUUUAUGUUUUUAUAUAUUGAUUAAAUCAAAUAGGUAGAUUUUAUCAUUUUUCUUUAAACAAAAAAAUAAGAUCACCCAAUUUAUUCUUAAAAAAAUAAUAAUCAAAUUAAUUAAAUAAUAAAAAUGAUUAUACAUUACUUAAUAUGAAAAUUAUUCUGAUAAUAAUUCUUUAAGAAUAUUCCUUCCGAACGUGUUUUUCUUUUUCUCAUUUUCAAGAUUAUUUUUGAAAAUGAUACUGUACACAUUUUUAAAAUUUUAAAAAUAUUAUUUUCAUUCUCAUUUUUAUUUUAUGAAAACAACAGUAAGAAAAAAAAUACCAAAUGGACCCUAAGACUCUAAAGAGUCUAAAGAAAAUAAACUCUCAUUGUGACUGAUGAAACUCAAAUGUACAGGAGGUGCAAGCCAAUCUGCUCAAGAAGCUUUGGCAAAUUAGUUACAUCAUACUUGAUUGUUACCCAAUGUGAAUAUUCGACUCUUUCUCACAUCAAUGGACAAGAAAAUAGUAUACCACGAGGUUAUGGGUGAUUAUAGUGUUUAAAUUAUAUCCUGAACAUUAAAAAUUAUAUUAUAAUUUAAAAUUUUGACAUUGGAUUAUCUAUCAAAACACAUUGGUAUCUAACUAUUAUUACACAUACAAAUGCAAAUAAACAAUAUUAUAUUUUAAAAGUAUGUUUGAAAAUGAAAUGCUCUGAGUGCAAAUCCACAUUUGUUAUAAAAUUGAAUGAUCAUUGGUUAAAUAUAGGUAGAUGAUUAGUGGCUAAAAUAAUUUAUUAUUGAGGAGGGAUUUUUACUUCACCACAUUUUUUAAAUUUUAAAGUGGGUUUGGGUUAGAUAACUGGGUAUGGCAUGGUUUGACAAUAGUUCACACAAAUAAAAAAAAGGUUUUCUCAAAUAUUAAGGGAUUGAGUUAACUAUUCGAUCAAAUAAUAUCGAGCAUUUUUCUUACCUCUUCUUGAGAAAUAAGUGGGCUGUUUAUUUGUAAAAUUAUGACAAUUUUACAUGUGACAAUCCCACCAAGAUAUCUUUGUUAGUUCGAAGAAUCAAAUUUUAUGAGGAAUAUAGCGCGAGAUAAUUGAAUUUGGUUAGAUAUUAUAUAAUUGGUAAAUAAGGAUUGAUUUUUUGCCAAAGUACCAAUUUUUUUAGGAACAUAGCAAGAGAGAAUUGGAAUAUAUUGUCAAUCAUUCAAAAAAGAGAAAAGUACAAAUUUUUUAGGAAUAUAACUAAGAAUUGGAUUUGAUUAGAUAGUCCAUGGUUGGUAAACAAAGAUCCAUUUUUUUUUUUUUACUAAAGUAUGGACAAUAAAAAAAAGAUGGAGAUGCGGGGGAUCGAACCCGUGCCUCUCGCAUGCAAAGCGAGCGCUCUACCAUUUGAGCUACAUCCCCCUUUGAAAUUGAGUUUAAUGCUUAUUUUAUUAGUUAAUGUAGUUCUCCCACUAACGAAUUCUUUUGAAUCGUGUGUUCACCAGUUAUAUAGAAUGAAUGUUGGGCUUCAAUUUGAAGAAAGUCAUCCUUUAUUACCUAAUUGUCAGCCGUUGAUGUUAAUAUGUGAAGAAAAUAACAUUCUUAGUUUGCAGAUUUAAUAGUUUGUUAACUUCACUCAUACAUGGAAAACGCCAUAAUGAUUGUUGUGUGAGACUUGAAUCAGUCCCUUACUCAACAAGUAUCUAUAAAUAAAUACUCAACAAGGUUUGAGCGGUGCCCUCUUCGCUAUUUGUUGAUUCCAAUCUUGAUUGGGUCCAUAUGAAUCAGCUAUUCGACUACAAGUUGGAGUUUGGACCCAUUGAAAUGACAAAAUGAACCGUCCAAGUCCCAACGAGAAAAUUUUCUAUGAAUGUCAAAGGGCCAGGGAGCAAGAUAUGUAGGAUGAUUUGGGUAAUUAAUUAACCGUUGUUUCAGUAAUUACAACUUGGUACAGCACUUCAAUUUGCAUAUGAAAUAUAAUCAAAAUUAGAGGUAAUCACCUCUCAUGCACUCUUUCUCGAUGUUGUAUCAAUGUGAGGAUUGAGUGUAAAGUAAAAAGUGCAUCUAAUUUACUCACACAUAGCUUCAGGAAAGAAGAACAAAUUAAAGAAGUGUUCGGCACUGUAUCUCGUACGACUUGUCUGUUAAAUUUAUGAGAUUUUGUAAUUAAAUUAGUUUAAUUUUGUUCCCCACCAUGGGUUACUUAGAACUAAAAUAGCAGUCAAACUAACCAAAAAGAUUAAUAGUAUAAUCAAUAGCAAGAUGAGAAUAAUUGGGAAUUCGACGUGAUCGACCGAGACCAUCAAAUUAACGAGCUGGCAUGCACGACCUCAACACUGUCAGUCAUACCAAUAAUUUGUAUGUAUUUUCUCAAGUGCACGCUUUAGUUGUUGUGCUUCACAAAAUUUUAAUUUACAAGUAGUUGUUAGUUGUUACAGUCAUACUAAAAAAUUAAAUAUAUGCAUAUUUCGAAUGAGAGUAUUUAGAAUCUCCAGAUAGUUUUUAUAUGUGCCACCGUUUCAGUUUUCAUUCUUUGAGAAAGGUAUUGUUAAUGAUUUGUAUAAAGAAAUUAGAGGGUAAUUAUUCAUCGAUCACUCGUCUUUUAUUAUGUUUUCUUUAAAAAUAUAUAAUUUUUUUUCUUUAUAGAAUUCUGUCUAAAAUUUAUAAAAUGUAUCAUUAUUCUAUUACUUUCUAAACUCUGCAUGAGAUUUUAACUGAAUAUUAGUAAAUAACUAUUUUACCUCUUUAUGUAAAAUUACUAUUGCAUCCCUAGGUAAAUGAUAAAAAAUUAGAUGAUUUCGAUUAUUCUUUGCAACUUAGAUAUUAAAUAAUAAAUGAAACAAAAUAGUUAAAAGAAUUAAAAUCCCAACCUAAUCCCAAAAUCAAUCCAAUAACCAAAUUAAAAACAAAUGCUAAACAAAAAAAUUAAAAGAAUUCAAGCAAAGCAAUAGAGAGAGAGAGAAAAAAAAAAGGCAUCACUGCAGUAAGACACAACGCUAAUCUUUAAUCUUAUUCAAAACAAAACCAGCAUUCUAGCUCAGUCUCUCUCUCUCUCUCUAUUUUUUUAUUAUCAGUCUCUUUUUGUUCUCGAACAAAAAUUAUAUAUCUUUACUUUUUUUUAACAAGAAAAAAAAAUUGUAGCCUCUUCUCUUGCCUCUCACUCAUUGCUGACUUCAACCACGAUCAGCCACCAUGGCAUAGCGCCACAUCGUUGGAUGCUAGAUUUGAUAAGAUCUAGCACCUUCAUUCCUCACUCUGCCAUGCCUUACCACACCCCGCCACUGCCACCAGCUGAUGUUUGCCAACCAUGCAUCUUUUUAUUAUUAUUUGAUUGUAAAUUAAAUAAAUUUUAAUUUUGGUAGUGUGUGGUUGUUGAGUCAAGGUUAGGGCUGAGCACUGUUCUUUCAAUUGAAUUAAAGGAUUUUCACUUUGAUAAAUUGUGGCAUUUUUUUUGUUUGAUUUAGAGAUUAUUUUUAUUUGUUAAAAUUAAAUGAGAAUUCUAUCUUUUUGACGUCAUUAAAUUUUUAACACAAUUUAGACAAUAGUGGAUGAUUGAAAAUGAUUUCCACUGAAGGUGGAAUAGUACCAAAAAAAAGAUUUAUAUAUUUUGAAAAAUGUCCUAAAAAAGGGUGAUUCGUACAAUUGUCCGAGAUUGAAUUAUAGUCCGAUUAUGUUGGAACUGCUCCACGAUGGAACGCUCAUUUAUAACCACACGAUUAAAGUAAUAAUGUGUUUUUUACUAUUUAUUACUUUGAGUGUGUGGCUGUGAUUCGCGCUCUAACAUAGCCAUGACCAUUGAAUUAUUUUCAAUUGUGUACUUUUCAAAGAAUUAUAUUGCCUUCCUCGAUCGCGGCUAGUUGAUCAAUUACCGCCCCUUUAGGCAUAGAGCGGAAUUCAAAAGAGAAGUUGGGCUUUUAACAUUCUACUUGCCCACGCCCAAUAUAACCGGCCGUCAAUUGUAUUUUCCAUUAGUAGCGUGAUCAGUAAUGCACAUCAAUAUUUUCCGGCUGAUGUCAAGGCAAAGCAAGUCAUUAAUUAUUCCUUAAUUGCCAUACAUAUACCUAUGUACAUACACACACACACAUGAGAGAUUCUAAAAUACCUUUGUUAUACUACACCCUUAUGGCAUAUAUGCAUAUAUGCAAGUCAUUUCACACUCGAUACGCGGGAUUUGUCUAUUCUUGAUGUCUAUAUGCCUCAGACUUCGACUGUUAAUUAAUUAAUUGUUACAUUGAAGAAAUUAAAAUAACAUUAAUUUUCUUUCUCAGCGUUGCAGAUCGAUGUUUGUUGUUUUGUUAACUUCAUAUAUGAAAAACAUCAUAAUGCAUGAAUUGAACGUUAAUAUAUAUGCUCUUAAUUUGUACUAUUGUGUGAUACAUCUGAAUCAUAAUUUUUAUAUAUUCCGAUGUAGAGUCUUUCGUCUUAUAUUUAAUGGAAUAUAAUAGAAACAAAUUCUUACACGAGAAAGGGCUUUACGGUUACAUCUCUUUCAGUUAUAAUUCCAAUUAAAGCUCAGACUUGAGACUAAUCAACUGGAAUUCAAGUUGUCUUGAUCAUCCUUUCAUGGGUCCUCAUUGGGAGGUCAACUUUCUGCCACACUAUCCCUCUACUAAGUAUCUUAAGUGCUAACGACUUGAAGUAAUAAGCUAAUUUUUUGUCUUCUUUGUAGGGACUAUAGUCGUUGGCAAAAUGAUGUUUUUUUUUCUGAGGCAAAAUGAUAUGUUAAUGUUAGCCUUCUUAACCAUCCAUUUACUGCACCCCUAUGUCUUCAUGUGUUGUGAAUUUUGAUGGAGAGAAAUUAGAAAAUUGCUGGUGCUGCCACAAGCCAAUUGCAUGCAUUUAAGCUAAGAGCUUGCUAGAAGUUAAUAAAACACCCUACUUAACAGCUAGGCUUAAUUGAACUGAUGAGAUCAAUCAUAGAGACAUCAUCUAUCGAUUAUUAAUUUUGACAAAUUCCUCAGCAAAGUGCAAAAGGUGAUGGUAAAUGAAAUCUAGAAAAAUAAUUUUUUUAAAAAAUUUUAUAAAAUCAGCAGAAGCCAAGAAUUUUUUAUUUUAUUUUAUGCAUACAUGCAUAAGGUUAGAGAACUACCUUGAUUUCAUGUUGAAGAUUUGAAGAAGAUGACUGCAAUCUUUUUUACUGCCACUAUUGAGAUCUACAAAAUAUGGUUGCAAUCUUCUCUGUCAUCUUCAAUUAUCUCUCUCACAUAUGUGGGCAUGUAGAGAACUCUAAUUGUCGAGGUAUGUAGAGAACCUUAAUUAUUGGGCGUGUGGAGAAUCCUAGUUACCGUGCAGGAGAAGGAAAACCUAAAAUUGUAUCUUUUCUUUUUCAAGAAAACUUGUAAAAGUCAUAUUUCUAUUCUAAUUUCCUCUCCUUUAUAUAUGCAUUUAUUAGAGUCAGAGUUUAAAUAGGAAUUGAGCUAGUAGAGGGACUGCAAAUCUAUGAGCUUUCUAACUUCAACUUAAUAGUUAAGACCUAAUGAUCUCAUAACAAACUAAAACUACUAAGUUAAUUUCAGGCUAUUCCACUAAAAAUCCAAAGUUACACUCUAGUACCCAUACAAUUAAAUAGAAACUCAAUUAAUUAAAACUCUUUUCAAUUAAUUUUAGCCUUGCUUUUAGGCCAAUAAUAACCACUUAUUAGAUCAUAUAUCUGAUGCUUAUAAUUAAAGCUAGGUUGAUGCUAAAUGUCAUGUUCCUAUAAUUAUGCAUUUGCCCCUAAGUCAUUAUUUGUUCUAGCUAUCACUUUCAAUAAACCUAUAUUUGUAAAAAAAAAAUUACAAAUAAAUAUUAUUAUUCAGUAAACAAUGUAGUGAAUAAACUGCUGCCACAAAUUUAAAUGAUCAAGUACCACAGUAACUAAGGUAAGCAUCAUUAGUAUAGAUUUCAUCUUUUAAGUAUAUAUGUUUCCUCAAUUCAUAAAAUUACAUCUCCAAUCUAUCGAGGUUUUGACUGUUUAUAUGGAUCUCAAUCCAUGAUAACUCAAACGGCAUAAUACAUGAAUGCAAGUUCAUUACUCACACAGGAUUAAGGUCGAUUAAGCUUAUUAAAGCUUAUAUGAGUUAUGAUUAAUGACAUUCGUUAAACUAGAUCAUUAUCCACCGUAGUCUAGUUCAAAAUAUAUACAUAUUAACUAUUCUACUCGAAAUCUCUACUUCGGUAAUUAAGAUAAAAUCAAAUCACUCAUAAUAGAAGUUGAAAAGUUACAGCCUUGCAUAAUGAAAUACCCAUUUCAUCAAUAGUUGUGAAUAACUUUUUAUUUAUAAAGAACCUAUGAUUUAUAUCUUGUAGUAUUGAUAUCAUAUGCCCAAUACAUAAAUCACAUAUUUUAUAAAUAAGGACUAAUAAUGUACGCUCAAAAUAAAUAACGAAUAUAUAAAUUUUAUGAAAUUCUAAAAUUGUUUAUUUAUCGCAUGGUUUUAGGGUACAAAAUAACAAUAAGUCUAACAAAAGGACGGGAGGGUACAUAUACACUCGCUUAAAUUGAAGUUAUUGAUGAGAUCAUUUACAUUUUAGAGGACCAGGAGAAUGCAGUGGAACAAUGGAAGUGCAUGCGAUAAUAUUGAUAGUUUUGCUGGACAUCUUUUUUGCAGAGUUGAAGGCUUUUGCAGAAUUGAAGGCAACAAUAAUAUCAUAUAUUCCAAUUGCUUAUAUUUUCUGGGUUCUUUUAGAACCGUGCAUGCGUAGCGAUCUCUGUGGACCAUUCGGACCAAUAUAUCUGAUUGUUUCUCAUCCGUCCUUAUUGAUGAAAGAAUACCAAUUGGGCCACCCAGUCAGAAAUGAUCAGAGUACUGUGUAGUUUUAAUUGGUUUUCCCAUGGGUUGGUUAGAAUCAAAAGAAUCAGUGACUCCACAUCCAUUUGGCCCAAAGACUUUAUAAUCUUUGGGCGGGCACGAGAGUGAAUAUUGUGAAUUCAAUGAGAUUGAUUGAGGCGAAGAAAUUACCCAGGGUUUAAGUACGGUGACCUUGAUUUUGAUAAUAUUUUUACAGAUACAUUUACACUAGUAUUAAGUCAAAUCCGAGAAACAGAGUUGAAUUGUAUUAAUCUUAACUUUUUCCUUGUGAAUUCGAAUACUACACGUGCCCACCAAUCCUACCAAUCAAGUUUCUAUUUCCAUCUAAUCGGAUAUAUUUUCUCAAAAAUAUAAAUUCUUUUUGCUCAAAAAAUGUUGCAAAAUAAGAAAGGGAUUUUUCCUGUGGGGAAAUUGACAUUAACGUGCCAUUAAUUAGCCAAGCAGGAUUGCUACUCGGCUACCUAUGAACCUGCAUCUGUAUUACUGUUACUGAUGUUGAGUGGAGGAAUUGCCACUUGCAAGCAAAGUCCGAAGCAAGAUAAGCCCAUUUCUAUCUGGCCAGCCAUUUCAUUUUCAUCUACUCUUGACACUAACUCUAGUGUAGAUAGUAGAGCGAGCCAGCAACUAAAGAAUUCGAACUAAUUUUUGGACCUUUGCCAUGAUUAUGAAUGGGGGUGACGUCGUGUUCGUAUGCGAACAGUGAGUUCCAAUCAUGCUGUUUAUAUAAUAAUGGAAAAUGUAUACAUAUAUCUAUCGAUCAGUUUAUGCUAACUUAUCCCUCUCAUUCGUGUUGUUGCAUUCCAUGCAGCUGGUCACCGGUCACCUUCAUCAUCAUUUUCUCUCGCAUUACCUACUGUUGGCUCCUUAUUCACCCAAUCGCUUUCCAUCUUAUCAAAGUUUGGAUUAUUAACUUAACCAAGUGUACGUGUGAGUUUAAGAACAAUCAUAAAUUUAUGGACGUGUAUGGAGAAAGAGAAAGAGAGAGACAAGUGCUUAUUUCUGCGACAUGGAAAUGGCGGUGGGCCGCGGGAUUUUCGCCAAAUUCAGCUUUAUUGGUCUUAAAAGAAUAUGAAAGAUCCAAGCUGAAAUUCUUUUCUGAAUUGAUCAAAGUGCAUUUACAUAUGACAUGCUUUGUUCUUUUUUAAUAUAAAAAUAUACGUUACAAUUUGGAAAUUUACCAAAAUUGUCUGGAUUGGCUAUGAAUUUGUGAAGUCAAAGAUUUGGAACCAGGAUAAGCGCUAAGUAUCAAAUUAACAAUUAAGAUUUGUUUGAAAUGAGUUUCGAGGGUUUUCAGAAUUAAUUUCUGAUUAUUAAUUUGGUGCUCACCACAAGUUCACCGAGCACCCAAUUCUCAUCCCAUAAUUUGAGCCUUCGGUUUAAAAAUAUCACAAUUUCUAGACCUAAAACAUGUGACACCUAUUUUAAAAGUACAUAUAUAAAAUUAAAAUAAGUCAUAUUUAUUUUAAAUAUUUAGAAAAAAAUUAACUCCACUAGCACAGAAAAGACCUUCAAUAUAUUUCUACAUAAAUAUAUGAAAAUAAUAAUUUAUCACCGUGGUAAUAGGUGGUUCUAAGAGGGUAUUAUGUUGCUUGAGAUUUAACACCACAAAGGAGGGGAUGCAUGCCUUGACUUUUUGCAAUGGGGCUCUUUGUUAACUAGGUAGAAAGAAUUAAUUAAAACAAUUCGGAAACAAACAAUAGUGGUUUGAUUUUUGAGUCCUCAUGGGAAUUCGAAUUUAGGAGGCAGAAUUGUUUGGGAAAGCCAAAAUAGCUCUUGGACAUGGAGACUCUAAAGACUCUCAAGCUCAGUUCCCAAACGCACACUCGUGCAAUCUUGGAAACAUUAAAUUAUGGGACAUGGACUGUGGUCAAAAUAAACUCUUAAAAAAAAUUUGAAAUAGUUAAGAUGUGGGUAAGGGCUAUGGUCAAAAGCAAUUAAAGACUCUUCAUCAAUAACCAUAAAUAACAAAUAAAAUGAAAUAUAUCGCUUCCCUUACGUUUUGUUUAUUUCUUCAAUCAAUACCUACAUUUCGUUGAAGAUUAAAAAAUCACCAUUACCAACCAAAGUUGGUUGGUGUGAGUGGUUCGGCACUCUCACUUCUUAAGAGAGGUCAGGAGUUUAAGCUCCGCUCUCGUAUGGAAUCACUACUUUGGCCAGCACUUUAUCUCUUAUGGGCCGACCCGGUGCGAGCGGGGAUUAGUCUGGGUUGUGCUACGGGCUUAAAGAUACCUCCCAUAAUUGGGGUCCACUUAGGACCACUUCGUGGUUCAGACAAAAAAAAAAAAUCGCCAUUACCACUGAAUGAAUUGAAAGUAUAACAAUUUUAUAUGGUAAAAAUUUGCACCUAGUGGAUUCUUGAUGAACACAUUAAUUUAUUUGGUAUAUUAUAGUGGAAGAUCUUAGAUUUCGGGAAAAAUCUGUAAAUGUUGAUGCAUUCGAUCGUGCCUUAGCGAAGUUCUCUGCAUAUUGAAAACAUGAAUCAUUGAUCUGAAUGAACGUAUGAAUUGUUAAUAACUAGGUUUCAAUUCCCCCAUGAGUUUUGCUUUGUUUAUCGCAAGGAGUGGCUUUGAGCUAAGUUAAACUCUUUGAUUGAAACGAGAGUACAUUUGCUUCUUCAAUAUCUUCAAUAGUCAACAAAGCACCAACGUGGCCUUCAUACAGGACGAGUAGUAAUUACGGUUUGAGUAAAACGAAAAUAUUGUUUCCACUGUAACAAUUUCAUUUUGAGCAAUAAAAAAAUGAGUUUAAAUAUAAAUUAACAAUUUGUUCAUGAUUUAGUUUUAAUUGAGGAAUUGAGAAAAUGAAUGGAAGUUUGAUUAAGAAACCUUAUAAAACUGAAUAUUGAUGCAUCCUUUUCUCUUAUUCAUUCUUGGCAACUACUGAAAAUCCCAUUGAAGGAAACUAACACACUCUGGCGACAAAUUGAAAGCUCGUUAGCUGCUGAGAAUUAAUAUGUGGCUGAGACUGCGCAUUAUAUAACUUUGUGAUCAAUACUAAAAGCUUUGGGCCAAUGAGAAAUUAUUAUUUAUUUUUUGUUAUUGUAGUCACACAAGACACCCCAAUAAUUUGAAUUGUCUCAAACUUUUUUGUCGCUUUGCCUUUGCCUCCAAAAUCUAAAUUGCUAAAAAGUCCAACCCCUUCCGCUUCUUCUGGCUGAAGAGGGUCCCUUCUCUCAAAAUCAGCUAAAAUUUAGAAGCAUCUAGGUGCAAUAGUGAUGUGCCAAAGAAAAUAAUUAAUAAAAGCCGCACUUGCAGGAAUUUUUUUUUUUUUCCUUUUUCCUAUGUUCAUAUAGUUUUCUCUAAUACAUACAUAUGCAAGUUCUAAUAUAUGAAUUUAACAUUAUGAAUAAUGUUAUCUAAUUACAGUGCGAUAAUUUUUAAUUAUAGAUAGACAACAUUAAAUAGUUUCAACGUACGUACGUGCUUUCUCUUUGGUUUUAAUUUUACCUACAAGUUAAUUACUUGCAUCUCAGAGUACCAUAAAUUAUGAGAGAGGCAGGCAUGUAACUUCUGUAUCUAUCAUUAUCCUUGCCGGCUUCACCGCCAACUAGCCACUAGCUUCGCAUUUGCAUUUCGUUUUCAAACUUUUAUUUUUGGUUUUCCACACGGCAAAAGUUUUGAUUUUAUAAAAUAUAAAGGAUCAUGCCGACACAAGCAAUACCACUUAAAUUGUACUAUUCAUUUUUUCAUGUUGAAUUUUGGUUCCACGUGUCGAUUUCGUGUUAAUACUUGAAGCUUCUCCUUGUACUUUGGACAAGGAUUUGAAUUUACGGGGAGCCGCUAGGUGGUAGGCACAAAAUUUCGCUUAAAACAAGAGACACCAAAGACAAUAUGAAUGUCGUUGUCUUGCUACAGCAGCCAGGUGAUUAAGGUAAUGAAUGAGUUAAGAGAUGGGAAUAAGAUUGUGAUGUUUGUUUAUUAGCUAGCAUAAGAACCUUCUAAUUAAAAGCUAAUUAAACAUGCACGACUAAUUAAUGCAAACGAAUUAACUUUAUGCUGACGUGACUUCACAUGAAUUCAAUUCAUCUUCAUGGAUACAUAAGAUAUUUGUAUUCUUUAGCAAGUUUGUGUACAAAGGGUUGCUGCCAUGUAUCAGUAUAAGAGGAUUCGAACUAAGUGAUGAUAUAAAAACUGAAAAACCCUAGUUAUAGUAAAUAAAGUGAAAUGGGUUUGUGAGUUUGUUGACUGAAGCAAGAAAGAUCAAGAAGAUGGAGUGAUGGUGGAAUAGAAACAGUGGAUGCAGGAAGGGAUGUGCAUGAAAAUGGAACAUUGAACACGCGCACCAAAGCAAAUGCCGGAUGGCCUCUACCCUAAAACCUCUUGAGUUACUGGAAGUAAGAUAGCAUUGAUCACAAAAAUAAAAUUUGGAAAAAAAUUCAGAGAAAAAGAAAAAAAGAAUGUUUCUCUCUCUAUCUCUCUCUUUAAUCUUUAUGUAUGUGAUGCAACAAUCUCUUGGGAGACAAGCUGCUGCAGGUCUAAUCUCUGACUUUCUCCUUCGGCUUUUACUUUCUAAUAUUAACCCCUUUCUGUUUGCUGCAGCAGGGGGUAAUUUCUUGACUUUCAACACUCUUUUAUUUUUACCAACCACUAAUGAAUCUGUUCUUUUCCUCUAUCAAAUUUACCCUAAGCUCUCGCUCUCUCUCUCUCUCCCUCUCUCCCUCAACUCAUCCACGCACACAAAAAUGUUUAUGUAUGUGUAUAUAAAUCAUCACUGUGGUCGAUGGUAGCCAAAGUAGUGUAGCUAGCUGAUCUCUCUUCUUUUGUCCUCAUCAGAUUUCAAUAUGACAGAUCCUUAUUCAUCAAAUCUCUUCAAUGGGUGGUUCAAUUUCAAGCCUCUUCAUCCUCACUACUCUCCUAACAUCAUAAGCAACAAGUCUAUCUUUCAAAGCCAAAAUUAUCUUCCUCCUCCUCCUCCUCCUCCUCCUUCACCUCCUCUGAAAGAAGCACUUCCUCUAAUAAACUGCUUAAGCCCUGCUCGGAGACAAGAAGAAGAUCAACAAGAACCUUUCGUUAGUACUGCCAAGGAAGAGGACAAGGUAAACUGUACUAAUGAUGAUGGUGAAGAAACUGUAACUGUGGCACUACACAUAGGGCUCCCUAACCCUAGCAGCAGCUCUGAUCAUGAUUUGGACUCAAUAAGGCUCUCAUCAUCUGCAGAUGUGACGGCAAUAACAGAGGAUAAGAUUAAGGAAGGAGUAGUCAUGAGUUUGGAAAGAUUAAACAAAGGCCAGUACUGGAUUCCUACCGCUUCUCAGAUUCUCAUUGGUCCAACACAAUUCUCAUGUCCUAUUUGCUCCAAGAACUUUAAUCGUUACAACAACUUGCAGGUUUGUACAUAUAGUCUUCUCCCUUUUUCUGAAUUUAAUUUGUACGUCAUCUUUUUAUUAAUUAAUUUUAUACUAACAAGAUACGAAGCUAAUUUGUUUCUCCUACAUAGUUUUAAUUUUUGCACGUUCAUUUCCCGGUUUUAGAUUUGAUACAUGAGCAUGUCAUCUAUAGCUUCAACAGAAACUCAGCUCAAAGCUGGGGCUUCUUGUGUGUGAUAGUUGCAAAAGUUCAUGAGAUGUUCCUCAUAUGCUUUCAAUAUUGCUUUGAAGAUUGUGCAUGCUCACCACCCAUUUCCAUAAUGUUUUAAAGGAAGACUGAUGAAAAUUUUUGGUGCUUCCAGGGUUCAGAUGAUGAUCUUAGAUCAUCAAGAACCUGUACCGUUCUCAAUCUGCACACUCCAGCUCUGCACCCAAUGUUUUUUUUUUUUUUCUUUUAAGUGUUGCACAAUUAAAUUCACAAACACCAAUUCCUCAAGAGUUAAAUUCACAAACCCCAAUUCCUCACGUCUGUUAAACAUAAACCCUGAACUCAGAUGCCUUCGGCUUUGUAUGAUUAGUAGAAAAUAAUCCCAAUCUGACAAACCAAACUUACCUGGAAAUGGUCACAACAAAUUAGGAUUUGACAUUGCUUCGUAUUCGAGAGUACCCAUUACAAACCCUUUGCAAGUCAUGUUCUUAUUGAGAUGCAUUUUAAAGAAACUUAGAACUAUUCAAAGUAGAAUUUUAUACAAUAAGAUGAAUAGUUUAGAGUCUAGGAGGUGUUGUCAGAUAAUCAAAAUGCAUUUCACAAUUAUCAAUGAUCAAAGAAGUUUAAAGUCAAGUUGCUGUAUUAAAAUUUAAUUUAUUUUUUUUCACUACUCUCUAAUCUCUAUAGAUGGGUUUGCUCAGUUUAUGUUCUUUUGAAUGUCCACUAACGUACCUUUUUGUUUCUUCUAUCAAUUUAGGGUUGCUAAAUGCUGUAACAUAUAUACAUAAUUGAGUGUGUCUUUCUCCUUCUCUCUCAAUGUGGCAUAUUGCAAAACUUUUAGCUGCUUUAUUCUAAUAUUCUUAGCUCUGGCAGUCUGGCUAUAUCAUGUGUGCCUCCUCUUUUUGCUCGCUCUCUCUCUCUCUCUCUCAUCAUCAUGGGCUUGUUUGCUUGCUUGCUUCAAUAUUAUUGCAGAUGCACAUGUGGGGCCAUGGAUCUCAGUACAGAAAAGGACCUGACUCUUUAAGAGGAUCCCAGCCAUCAGCCAUGUUAAAACUCCCUUGCUACUGCUGUGCACAAGGAUGUAAGCAUAACAUUGAUCAUCCAAGAGCUAGGCCUCUCAAAGACUUUAGAACUCUCCAAACACAUUACAAGAGAAAGCAUGGGAUCAAACCUUUCAUGUGCAGAAAAUGUGGCAAGCCAUUUGCAGUUAAAGGUGAUUGGAGAACUCAUGAGAAAAAUUGUGGCAGAAUUUGGUAUUGCGUUUGUGGAUCGGAUUUUAAGCACAAAAGGUCUUUAAAAGAUCACAUUAAAGCCUUUGGCCAUGGCCAUGCGGCAUUAGGUAUUGAAUGCUUUGAAGAAGAUGAUGAGCCAGCUUCUGAAAUUGAGCAUGAUGGUGAGUGCUCAGUGUGAUACACACACUCACACAUGCAAUUAAUGGAUUUAAUUAAAGGAAUUAUGCCACCAAUUUUUUCUAUCUUGUGCAUCUUUUGCACUCAAGGCUGAUUAAUUUGUUCCCAUCGUCAUGUAAAGCCUAGUGUAAAUUUGAGGAUGAAGUAGCGAGUGAAGUGUGAAGUUUAAUUAAGGAUUGUCCGUUUGGACAAGUACUAAGUACGUACGAUGAUUUCAAGUAAUUACUGCUUUUUAGUAAAGUGCUUAAUUUUAUGUAGUUACUGGCAAUCGAGUUGUAAAAAAGUGUUCUUUUUUUCCCCCAAAUAUUUGUUGUGAGAGUUACGAAUUAACCAAUUAUUAAUUAAUUAUUAGUGGGAUGAUAAAAUUUUCUAUGGGUUUGUAACCUCUAGAUGGCAUAUUAGAGUGAGCUUCUCAACAACUCCCCCCCCCAUCAAAACCUCCCACCAUAUAUAUGGGUGACGGACCUAAACACUUAUGCAAUACUCUUAUCACUAGACUAUACGUAUUUUAUUAUAUGGAAAAUAUGUCCAAAAAUAGUUUAUUUAACUCUUUCAUAAGAGACUUCAGGCUCACAGAGAAAAAAAUGACCUAAGAGGAGAAACUGGGUUCGCCUCUGUGUGUGUGUAUAGAGAGAGGAUCAGGAGCUCUUUUUUUCAAACAAAUCUUCAAUCAUAAUAAAUCCAGUGGUUAAAAUUAUUAUGGACGUGGAUUUCUUUUUUAAAGAAAAACUAAUAAAAUUUGGCCCCACCAAAAUUUACAUUUACUUCUAUUAUCUUUCUCUCUCUUAUUUUUGCCUAUUUUGAUACUUUUCUUAUUUCUUUCUUUUCUAUAUAUUCUUCUCUCGAUGGUUUCUACAUGGAGAAAUAAUAAGUUCAAGCGUUACCUUCUUAAAUCCAAUUAUGCUCUUAAAAAAAAUAGUGUUGUAUUAUAAAUUAAAGAAUAUGGAAGGAAAAAGAAGUGUUAUUCACAUUAAAAGGUGAAGAAAAGCUUAGAUAUACUGUAUAAUUUUCUUUUUAUUUCUUAUUAAAAAAAUCUUAGCCAUAAAAAGUUUGCAGUCAUGUACACUUGUUUGUGGAGUUAUUAUUAUGUUAAGUAGUUCUUAUUAUUAACACCCCCCUCAAGAGAGAGAGAGAGAGAGAGAUUAAUGCAUAGUUUUGUAUGACUAUACGGGUAUAUUUGUAAGGCAAUAUAAUUUUGUCUUGGGGCUUGAAAUUGGAAUAUUAGAUCAUCCAGGAUUAUUUAAAAAAAAAAUUGUUACUAUUAUACAAAUCAUUUUGGAAGAAGAAGAUCAUGCAGUAAAGAGUGAAAUGUGAUGAAAGGAAUUAAUAAUAUUUAAACUUUAAAAGAAAUUCAUAUAAUCAAUUAAUUUUAACCAUUAGAUUGAUUAUGAUUUGAUGACUAUGGGUCUGUUUUGAAUUGUUUUUAGAAAGUUUAAAAAUGAUUUUGAAAAGCCAAAAGUUAAUUUUGGUGUUCAAUAUCUUUUAAUCUCUCUUAUAUUUAACACAAUUCCAUAUAUAUCAUAAUGUAGAAAUAUUUCGAUCCAAAAUCUUGAAUUUGUUAAAGUCUGAAAAGGCUAUUAAGCCAUAUAGUUAAUAGUAUAAUGGUAUUUAUACUAUUAAACCAUAUUACUUAAUAGCAUUUCUAAAUUUUAAAAAGGUUUAAGAUCUUAAACCAGUACUCUAUCAUCACAUAUAUUAUAGAAAUCCAACCUUAUCCUCAUUAACUUUAAACAUAUUCUUAUUAUUAUUAUAUUGAGAUAAAAAGUUUAAAAUAUAUAUAUAAUUGAUAAUAUAAACUAUUUAUUUUAGUUAUCAUUAUUACAUAUACACAAUUAAAAAUAUUUAUAUAUAUAUUUAUAAAUGUGUAAAUAAAUUUUAUUAAGUUUAGUUCAAUUAUCUAUAUUCUUACCAUAAUUUAACAAUAAUAUUUAUUAAACACAUAUGAUUAUUUUUAAAACUUACAAUAGUUUUAAAGUAAAUUUUACGAAACAUUUAACUGAUCAUUUUCAAAGUUAAUUAUUUUUACAGCAUAAUUAAUAAUAAUUAUUUCAAAAGCUGCUGCUUACCAAACUGCCCCUAAAAUUUUGUAUAAAAAUUAAUGUUAAAAAGAGGGUUCCCCUAUCCCAUCCCAUGUCUAUAUACAAAAUUUUAAACAAAAUCUCAACCCUUAAAUCACAAUCAGUCUAACGGUUAAAGUUAACCAUUGUAUAUGUACAUAAACAAAUACAGUCUCACGAUAAUUUAACACUAAUAUUAAUUAGCGUAUAUUCAUCAACAGCUUUAAACAGAAAUCAAAUAACAAUAAGCUCUUAGAGGGUUUUGUUUAUUAAUAAAGAUCGCAAGGAUAGAUUUAUUUAUUCGACUAAAUUUAAACGAAGACGUAUUCUAUGUCGUUAACUUGUUAUAGGAACUAGGAAGGACUACUGAAAAAUAUUUAAAAAAAUAAUAAAAGAAUAAUUAACAGUAUCUACCCUGCCGCCAGUAGUAAAACUUCAUCUGAUUCUCUCUCUCUCUUCAUGGCACCCCCUCCAACACGUGAACCAAGUCAAUUUUUUAAUUGAUUCCGAAGUAAUUAGAUUUAUUUGAUCUUUGGCACUUAGUUAGCAGGUGGUAGAUUUGUGUUUGAGAGGUCGCAACUUUCAGAAAAUCAACGGAUGAAAUUUAAAGAAGAGAUGCACUUGACAAGUUGAAGAAUACAGUAGAAAAAGAAUCCACAACUAAUCAUGAAGUUAAUCAGUUCUACGCAUAUGGGGUUGUAUCUAGAAAUUCAAAAAAAAAAAGAAAAAAAAUCAGGUCAAAAAGGCACAGCCAGGUUUAAAUUUUAAAAUAUGUAAAAGCUUUGCCACUGUUCAGUUUAGCUUCAAAUACACAUUUUAAAAUGUGAAGGCGAUAGUAAUUCUGUCAUACUGAAAUAUUAAUGGAGUAUUCAAUACUUUUGGAUUCAUUAACCAACCUACAUUUUUGCCCGAGGUGACGUGAUGAAGAAAGGAAGGAAGCCGUGCAUUGACCAGUCUUUCCCUCCUAGUCUUCAUUUUGUUAAUCUUAUGUUUAUUUUAAAGUAACGAUAGAUUUAUUAAAGUUUAGGGUACAAUUUCCAACCACCGAAUUUACCAAGAUAAAUUUUGGUAUGUCAUACAGCAGGAAAAGAAAAAAAAAGUUAUUUUAUUUAUAAUUAAAAAAUGUUUUGAAGAUAAUAAACUGGCCACUUCUUAUUAUGAUUGUUUUUAUCUUCAAGCUCGGUGAUUGGAAAACUUUGUGUAAACAAACUAGUAGUUAGGCCCUGUUUGGUAUGGAGGAAGCUACAGCAAUUGUGAAAAAAAAUAAUUAUAACUAUAAAAUAAAAAUUAUUAAUUUAUAGUAAAUACAAUUUUUAAGUAAUAAUUUUAAUAAAAUUAGUAAUAUAUAAUAGAUUUUUCACCUAACAAGUAUAAAAUCAAAUCAACUUAACUUUUAAGUUACAGCAACUAAUGUUUACUAAAUACUUUAUUGCUGUAACUUUUAAACUAUAUCUGUUCAACUUUAAUCCCAAACAAAACCUUAAUCACAAUAAAAAAAAACCAACCAUCAUGUUAAAAUAAUAAUAAUAAUAAUAAUAAAUAAUAUGCCAAAAUCCAAAGAAAAAUCAGUUAUGCACACAUCUAACUAUUAUCACACUGACAUUUCCUACAAAAUGUGCAAUCAGCCUUGGUAAAGAACCAAUAUUGUUAGGCAUGGAAUGGCCGGAACCCUCUAAAACUAAAUGGUAAGUAGCCAAAAUUUCUCGAUCUUAUCAAGAGGGGGCUAGGAGUGACACAAGAGGAUUGAGAAACCAAUAAGUUUAGGCAAUCAAUGUGUUUUAUGUAUCAUUGAAACAAAUGACAGUCACAUUCCAGCAUGCAUGCAAGUAUUGAAUUACGGCAAAGACACCAGUACUCUUUGUAUGGGAUGAACAUCCAAGGCAUUGUUGAAGGAAGCUUGGUCCCCAAAGUAAACGAAAUUCUGAGAUUUGAGGAAAAGAAACACACAAGAAAAGAGAUAGAUUCAGUUGAAAAUCACAGUUUGAAAGAUCCACACCUGCACACGAAUCAGUAAAACAUAAAGCUUGGAUAGGGAAGACAACUCACCUUUUCCCAGUAAGAACUCCAUAAGCUGAUGUGGCAAAAUAUGAUCUUGAAACCCUAGUAAAAACCUUUCUGUAGUGAGGUAUGACUAUUUGUCCUGCAGGAUAUUUUCGUAUUCGUGUUAGCGCAAAGUCAAAAAGAAAUACAAUCCAGUAAAUAAAAAACCAGAACAGCCAAUCCUUCUUAUGCAACAAGCAUAAUCAAACACUUCUACAUUUUAGUCCAGUGUGUCCUUGGAAGAAAUAGGAAAUUUGCACAAGGCCCCUCACCUAUAGUAAAAAAGUUGCUCUGAAGAAUUGAAACCAGAGCAUGAGAUCUUCCACUUAUAUUCUCUUGGUGCAGUGAAUUUUUAGAAGGUGAAAUGAUUUUAUCAAGGCUAACAAUCUCUGGAGAAUUAACGCUAUUGCUAUGACAAGUUACAAUCUCAAACCAUAUCCCAGCUGGAAAUCUUCUUCGUCUCACCAACCAGAGUACAAUUUUAAUAUAAGGUGUGGCAUGGAUAAUAGAUAUAAUGACUUCGAUCAGCAUGCAGAUAAGGCUGAUGCUUGUGUUCAUCAUGGUGAAGAAAAUAUAGAAAACAGAAGUUGUUGGUAACAGAAGUAGCAGUGGCGUAAAGAGAAGAGAUCCGACAAUAUGUUGCUUCACAGUGUACUCAUAGCUAUCUAGUCUUUGUCGAAGAGGAUUACACUUACGACCCCUGCCAAAAUAAUUCAGCAACUGUAUGAAGAACUUGAAGCAAAGAAACAUCAAAAUCACAGAGACAACUAAAUCUCAAGACAUUUUCCUGUUUUCUACCAAAAAAAAAAAAAAUAUCAAGCACCCAUUAAUUAUGUAAAAGAAGGGCCUAGUCAUACGAGUAGGUUUCAUUUGUAAUUGCAACCUAUAAUGCAGUAAAGUUGAAAUAUGCCCGUCCCACAAAAACAAACAGUCACCAGCCAACCUCUUUCAGAAAUAAUACUACUUCAAAGUACAUAAUAACAAUUUAUGUGAUCAAUAGAUAUGAAGCACUCAUUAGAUCAUGUAAAAAGAAGGGCCUAGUCUUAAUAGUAGGUUUCAUCUGUAAUUGCAACUUGCAAGUGAGAAUCUUAAUGAUUUUAAUCAGAAAAAGUUUUAGUUCAGGCUAACCUGAACAAGCGCCACAAAGCUGCUAAUGCCUGUAUCUGCUGAGAGUACAAAAGUGAUAUCAUCCAAUGGAGGGUUGAAACAUGCAACGUCACUACCACAAUCAUGUCUCUAACCAAGGCAGCAGGUACAGUCAUCCCAAAAAGAAUUCCUAAUAUAGCAAGUCCUUUCACCAAAUAAACCAAGAGGGAAUCAACAAAGAACCAGAGUGUAGACCAUAUUUGGAUGGCAUUAAGGGAAAUCAUGCCAAGAACUCCAGCCAACUCGGUAUUCAACUUGAAACCUGCUGGCACUCCCAUCAACCAUACACAACCUGUACGCAACAGCUCAUUUGUAGUAUCAUUGGCAAAGUCCGAAACCCAUAAGCAGACUGAUUCCGCAUUAAACAACAGUGAGAAACCAAUCAAGUUUCCCAAAAGCAAAUCGACAGCUAAGCUUGACCACAUGGAGUGCUUAUGUAAUGCAGCUUUCUCAGCAUAUUCAACACAUGACUGAGACCUUACAAAAAAUAAAAAAUAAAAUAAAAUAAAUUAUGCUACAAGAAAUAAAAGGGCCUGUUCCAGAAAAUGAAGACAACAAUAGAUCAAAUGUAAUACACUUAAGAUCAUGGUAUCCAGUCCAUCUAGGUUGGACCAAAUAGGCUAACAAUUCAACUGGUUAACCAUGAGCUUUCCGAAUAAGAAAAACAGAGAAAUAAAUUUUAUUUUUUUCUUUUUCUUGGUAGGAAUUACAAGCUCCUUUUGUAAAUGAGAGAAUAGAGAAAUAAACAACAUUUUAAAUGAUUCUAAAUUAAAUAAUCAAAGUAUAUAAUUUCAUUUUCUACCACAAAGGAAAACCUCAUAAAUAAAAAAACUCCAAUAUAUGUUACCGAGAGCCUCUUGUCACCUGGAGUCAUUGUCCUGAAGAAGGAUAGGCCAAAACAAGAUCUGACCACAACGAAUUUGGAUAUUUAUCCAAGCAGUGUUGAAUAAACUUUUUGAUGUAGUGUAUAUCCACGAUUGUGAUCCAAAACCCAGAAGGCUAUGAAGAAACUGAAGAAAAAUAUAGAAUAUAGUGGACAACGAAGCCAUAGACACAGCCAAUAACUGCCACACCAGAGCAAUAAGCCUAAAAACAACACAUGCCAUUAGAAAGUGCACAGGAAACUAGGAUAGUGUAAUCACCAAAGACUAGAGAAAUACAUGCAAAUAAUAGAAAACUUAGUGAAAGGCCUGCUGGAGCCAACAUGUCUCUCAAAGACCAUUUUGGAAGCAGUGGCACUAUUCAUUGCUAGAAUCACUGCAUCCUGAAUUGAGGAAGACAAAAAUACAAAUUUUCAGUCACUAAAGAAUUUUUGAAACAUGGUAUAUAGCACAAAGGGCAAUCUUGCAAACUACUUUACCAAGUCAUUGAGAGGUUGCUUCUGGUGAAGUUCAUCAAUCCACUUGGGUUCCUUGAGAGGAAUUUUCACCUUUUUGAAAGAAUUCCAACAACUCAAGGAGAAAUGGCGUGCACCAUAUGUGGGAGUUUCAUAAAGUAUCACCUAAAAUUUUCAAACAGAAAGGAGAUUUACCACAACUGAAAAAAACAACUUAAACAUAUAUCAAGCAGUAAAGUAAUCAUGACUUAUCUUUAAAAAUUGAAAAAAAAAAAGGGUAAUCAUGACUUACAUACGUGGACAUCGCACUGAGACACCAAUCGCCCGUUCCAGUGAAUGUGAUGCAAUUUGGGAAUACAGUGAAUAUUUCUACCAUGAAUUUCAUAAGGAUCAUAUGCCAUCUCAAUCCAGUGAUUGCUUCCAGUAGCAGCUUGCGUAUGUUUCUCUAGUAAGCCAUCAAGUUUGUGGCACCCACAAUAGUAUCUUCUAUUUCUCUUUCUUAGCAUACCCUCACUGUUUAGUGCACAAGCAAUAUGACAAGUAGAAUACUUUUUUUUAUCAUUAUCUCCCACUCCAAUCCCGAACAACUGAUCAUUAUCGCUGGGACAUGCGGCACACUGACCAAGCAAAGAAAACAUUGACUUAUCCUGUAAAGUUAUAGACAUGCUCCUGUUUGUAUCGCAGAGGAUUUCCUGAUAACAAGAAAUAGUGCACACUGUAAGAUAUAAUCUAGAACUAAAAUCCUUCAUAUAUCCACUUCAAAUGCACGAAAAUAUGCUUCAUUAACUCCAUAAAGCCUUUAACACACAAAAAAUCAGAGCAACCUCCAUUGCAGCUUCAUUACCCCUCCGGACAGACCAAUAUCCAUCAAAAGAGUUUAGCGUAAUCAAACCUCAUCACAACAUCUCCCCAAACUCAAUAACGUGUUACUAAGAAAACAAUAUGAAAGUAAUACAGUGAGAAACAGGAAUAUAAGAAAAUAAUCUGAAAACAUCAAUAGCUCUAAUCCAAUUAAAUCUCUAUGAUACCAUUUCUCCUAGCUCUAACUGAACAUAGUAUACUCACCAAUGUAUCAUAAUAUCAGAGUUCUACAAGUUUCAAAGUGAACAUUGUAUACUCAUCAAUGCUUCAUAAUAUAACGUUACAACAUUGUCCAAUGUUGUUGAACAAACCACUGUCAAAAUCAUCUAAACUUGAUAUGUACUGUGAGAGUUACACAAUUAAAAGAAAUGCAACUAAAAUACUUGGUGCUUGGAGAAUUAGAUGUUCUUUACAAACUUCUAAUUGCCAAAAAAGAUUAAAACAAUUAUUCUUUAUACCUUAAGACUGUAUUGGCAGCCAGAGAAAGAGGAUUCAUCACAAGCGAAUGCCACAACAAUGUCGAGAGAUGCCGAUGCGCAAGAGACGAACCAGCCAAACAAGAAAGUGUACGAUGAAGAAGGCUCAGUUGAUGACAGGUGCUUCGGCCACCAAAUUCUACAUUGUUUUCUCAUUUUUCACCUCAUGAUCAUCUCAUAGAAUCAACUAAUUAUUCGAUCAUCAAUCACUCUCCUAUCCACAAAAGCCAGCACACUAGAUUAAAUUAAAUUAAAUUAUCCGUUAUUUACAAUAUUAUGCAACGUAGGGUAAUAGAUCCAAAACUUUAUUGUUUUCUCCCCGAAAUUUCUCGAGAAACAAAAACAGGAUUGUGAUUAGAAUAAAUUAGCCGUAGUUAAUUAGAUAAUUAAAGUCCAUUGUUAGAAAUAAAGAGAUAAUAAAUAAGUAUACAAAGAAUUAUCAAUCGUAAAAUUUGGACACGGGUAAACAGGUAGAAAGAGAGAGCUCUUACAAGCUGAAGAAAUCGGUGCCAUUACUUCUGGAUUAUUCAGCCAAGAGCGAAAGAAAGCAAAAGGAAAAAUCUGAGACAAAGUGGUGAGUGUUAGCUCGACUCCAUAUCUCUGUACCUCUGUCUGCCAAAUCUCAAAAAUAAAAUUAAUAUAAGAUGAUGGGCUGUGGCAUUUACAGGGGUGGGCGUUUUGGUUUUCGGUUCGCUUUUUACGGAUUUCGGUUCGGUUUACAAUCCGUUCGGGUUUGAUAAUUCAACCCAAACGGUUUGAAAAGCUACUAUGGUUCUGUACGGUUCCGUUUUAAAUUCGGUUUGGGAUCGAUUCGAUUUGAAAUUCGGUUCGGCUUCAGGUUCGGAUUUUCGAUUUCAAUUCCGGUUUAGAUCGUAAGAGGUCGAAUUGUAUUCAUUUUACAUAAAUACAGAAUAUAACACCUAAAACAGCUUUAAUCACACUAUAAAAAUGAAUACAAAUAUAUUCAAUUCAACAACCUUGCAAAGUAUAUGUCAAAAUAUGAGAUUUUCAAUUAUAUUUUAUUCAUAAUCCUCAAUCUUAAACUCAAAUUUGAGAGCAACAUGAAUAUGCAAAAUUUAGAAAGCCAAAUCUCAAAAAGAAGGCAAAAAAAAAAAAACAACUGAUUAGCUAAAAACACUACCAUCACAAGAAUUACAUAAGUAUAAAAUAAAAAAACCUCAUAAAUUUUUCUUUUUUACCGGCAAGAUCAAGUCAACCAUAUGUCUUAAGCCCAAAAUGCUACAAUAAGAAGACUCUCAACCAACAAAGAUACAAAUUUUACACACCCAAAAUAUUCUACAGCAAACUAAGAAUCAGGAAUCAAAAGAAAAAGAAACAAACCCAGAAGAAAGAAAGCCAAGAGAAGCAAGAACGGAAGAAAUAAAAAGGACAAGCCUUUAAAACCGAACCGAACAGUAAACCCGAUCGGGUUAUAUUAGGGGAAAACAAACCUAAAUUACUAGAAACCAAACCCCGUCCCCCUCAAAAUUAAGCGAAGCCUCAUCUCUCUUUGCAAGUAUUCUGCAUUUAGGAAGAUGCUUUCGAUUUUGGGCUUAGAAAAGCCCGGCCCAUAAGCCUCAUCAGUAUUCGUUACUCAAUCAUAAUGUUCCACGUGGACUUCAUCGCUUCCUCUGAAUCAAAAACAAGAGAAGCUGCCUCAUUUCGUCCUUGAAUUGAAUUGAACACGUACAUCAUCAAGUAUUGAUGGCUUUAGCGUACAAUCAUUACUCCAAUCUUGUUCUUUUCAAACAAUCAAACGAAGUAAAAUUCAAGUGUUUCACGAGUAUUAGAUGUCAAAUACAAACGAAAAAACGAUGCUUGAGAUGCAACACUCUUUAUCUUGACAAAGAUAAUUCCCCAACUGCAUGCUCCUUCCACGGCCACACAACUGGUACCAUAUUUCUUACCUCUAAUAUAGCUUUAGCAUUUGGCACCAACUUGCCAAUUGAGAUUCUUUCUUUUCGAUAUUUUCUUUCGGUACUUUACUAAUUAGUGUUUAACUGCAGGGGAGAAAGGGUUGUUUGCCCUGGCGCCACCACACCAAGGGAUUGAUGGGGAGUGGAGCGAUCACUCUGGGGUGAUCGUUUAUAAGUGGAAUGAAAAGGAUGAUAGGCCAAACACUGGAAGUGCUAACUGGAAGAAAAGAUGGAGCUGCUGUGCUGAGUAUGAUAAAAAUGCCCCGCCUUGUCGGACAGGGUGGCAUGUUUCUUACGAUGAUGGCUUCACAUUGUACUAGUCAGUGUUUGAGUUGAAUGUGGACGCCAGAUUGUAAAAUUCAUCUGAAGAAGAAACGAUGACAUGUUUUCUUACUAGUGUAGCAUCUUGCAUAUAUUUCUUGCUAUCUAUGCAUCUCAGAUUGAUGUUGGUUGAAUUGAAUAUGGAGAACAUCUCAUGUUUUGUUGCUACUACCUUGUAUGAUGUCAUGCAUCUCAUUGUGGUUUGUCACUGACUCGGAAAUAAGGUUUUAUUUUCUUACUUAAAAUUGUAAUUCGUUGUAUUAGCAAUGCUCCAUCGAUGCAACAGCUUUUGGUAUAUACCAAAUUCAAAAUGGCCUACUCUAAAAUUUACUCUGGAUUCAUUCACAUAUUAGUCAAUCUUGGAGUAAAUUUUUCCUUCAAUUGGUUGAGGUAAAUGCAUUGAUUCCUGGAAAACGAAAAGAGUCAAUACUUGAUUUCUUGGAUUUUGGGAGAUAAUUUGUUUGCUCCUCACAUCAAUUCACAAGUUCUCAACCUAAAUUGUUCUAAUUAAACUUUUGUCAGUUGCUAGUAACUCUGCUCCUACUGAACCAGUGUCAUACCUCCUCUCUCAUAUAAUGUAGUAACAAGAAGCAAUGAAACAAGAGCAAGAUACUAUCAUAUUUGCUGUAGUUUCAUCGAACCACUCACUCAGCCAUCGGGUGGUAAAGGUUACCGCACCAACACUGACCUGAUUGCUUCACUGCUCAUAUCUUAAUUUGUUGUGAUAAAAUGAAGAUCAUCUUCUAACACGAAAAGCAGAAACAUAAUAAUUUUUAAAAAAUGUAACAACAAAAUCUUGUUCAAAUUUUAUAAUUGAAGAUUAUUUAUAAUGGCAGAUUAAAAAGACUGAAUAUUACACAUAAACGAACAUAUCGAAUAAACUUCAUUUCACUCAAUUAAAUGACCACACCAAACUCUUACUGAACAGUCUUAAAAGAUUCAUGAACAUGCCUCAAGGUCUCUUCGUCUCGAUUCCACUCGGGCGUCGGUGCAUUAACAAAAUGUGCAUAAAGCUUAUUGUUAGCGCAAGUAACACUUAUCAAGCUAUGAGAACCAACACCAUCAAUCUCAUACACAUAAUAAAGCUGUCCUUUAUCAUCCUUCUUCUCCUCAGAAGCCACCUUAUCAGCGCUCGCUAGCAAGUCCUGCAAAUCCACAUCACUCAAAGCAAGAUUAUUCAACACAGCAUCUUUUGGCGCGAGCUGCCGAAACCCCGCCAAGAACGUCAAGUACUCUUUCUCAGUUCUCUUCUUAGGGUUAUAAAACUCACUGUCUGUUCCAUUUGUACCCUUCUCAACUUUCGACACCAAGCGCUCUUUCCAUCCAUCUGGGACAUCGUAAAUGUACUCAGCGGAGGCUUUCUUGUCGGAGUUGCCGCCGUAGCCGCCGUAGUUUGCUGCGCUGGCGGCUGUGCCGUAGUAGAUGUGGUAUGUUUGUGCAGGCUCAGCUAAUGAUGGCGAAGCUGUUAAGAGCGUGGUGGUUGCUAAAGUAGCCGUCAGUAGGGAAGUGAGAGAUUGUUUGGUGGGUGUGAAGAGAGAAGAGUGGGGUGGUUUUGUUGGGGUUUUGCAGGCGGUGGUUGUGGCGGACGAAGAGAUGACGGGGGACGACGGUGAGAAUAUCGCGGCCAUGGAAUGUGGGCUUAGAUUAGUGGAUGUGGUAGCUGCUGUUGGUUGAUUUUUAUGCGAUUUAUUUUAUUUAUUUAUUUAUUUUAAUUACCUGAUAAGAUGAUUAUUUUCCUUAUCCAAUCAAGCGGGGGUAAAGCUUCAGAUGUUAUGUUGUCGGCCCUUUAAAAGGCCUGCCUGCCUGCCUCGUCAUGAAUCUAGGGAUGAUAUUGGGCCAAGCCCGAGUCCGCCCAUAAUUUUUAAAAUUUUUUUAUUUUGAUAUUUAAAUAAUUUAAAUUUAAAAAAAAAAAGAACAUAACCUUCUCUAAUAUAUUACUUGUCAACAAAAUUCCUUUUUAUUACUUUUCAAGUUAGGAAGUCAUGCGUUGAAGGGGUUAAAUGAUAAUGUUAAGUUAUUUGAGAAUUGCGAUUCGUGAGAUUCAUUAAAUUUGUAUUAUGCCAAAUAAAAUGAAUGAAAUUGUUUUGAUUGGGUCACACGAGAAAUUUUUGACGUGCCAACUAAUUUAUUGAUCGGCGUGGUUAAUUGUCUUGGGUAAAGGUAAAGUAUGUAAUAUACGUGAUAUGAAUCUUUUAGAAAAGGAAUUUUAUUGCUGUUGUUAUUAGAUGAUGUCUCAUGAUGAUGAUGAUUAUUUAGCAUUAUUGCAACUAAAUUUCUUCCGUAUUUUUUUGUGUGGGGUUUCAACUCCAUAGCUAUCGUUUUCUACUUAAAAAUUUUACCAACAAGAUUAGCGGCCCCCCACAAUGCAGAGAUUCAUAUACCUUACAUAUAUAUUUAGUUUUCUGUUAUCAAAUUCAUGAUUGUGUUAUUUUUUUUGAAAAUUGUCCUUCAAAAUAAUUGUAUUCCACUUCCACAACAUAUUUUUUUCAGAUAAUUUUAUAGCAUUAUUACAUCUAAAUGGUACAUAAAGAUCAUAAGUUAGAUAUUACAUGUAAUCAAUAUAGUUACUCCUAAUGAGAAUCUAGCAAUGGUUACACUGGUCUGUAAAUGCAGCAACAAUACCCCCCAAGAAAAGGGGGAGAAAAAAAUAACUAAGAUUGUUUUUGUGUUUUGAGAGUGUGAGUUGUGUCACAUGUGUGAAUGUGCGAGGCGUGUGUGAUUGUUCUUUUUCUCCCUUAAGUUUUCAGGUCGGGACAAGUAAGGCCCAUACCCUGAUCUAAAUUAGUAUUUAAGCUAUAAAGCGACCCUUAACUCUUAAAUUAGGUCAAAAUAAGAAAAUUUUGGAUAAGAUCAAUCAGUCCAAAAAUCGAGUUUGAUCUUUUUGUCAUCCCUAAUCAUGAUUGCUUGAAAAGCAAAACUUUGUUAUAAUUUGGUCAGAAUUAUUUACAUGUAUUCAAGUUUUAGAUUAUUAUUUAUUUAUUUAUUAACACAAAUUAUCACUGCUCAGUACAAGAUUAGAUUAUGAGAUAAUUUUAAUUCAAAUAGUUCCUACACUAUGAAUAUCCAUUUUUGAGGGCUUUGAUUUUUUAACAACUUUCUUUAAGGAUAAUAGAGACUAAAAAAUAAAUUAGAUCUCAUUUCAAUAUUUCUGAGAGGUACAUGUACCAUAUUAAAAAAAAAUUGAAUAAGAGAUAAAAUGAGUCCCUAGCAUUGGGGCUAUAAACCCAAAAAUAGUACCUAUGAGUAAUCCAAUUCUCUUCUCAUAUACAUUUAUAUCUACCUGAGGUCCUGAGCUAAGACACGCUUCAUUCACAUGCACAUAUAUAUUAAAUUGCGUCAUAACAAACAUACCCAAAUAAUUUGUCAACAAAAUUGUUAUGAUAUAUAAUUUUAAAAAAUUAGCUUCAACCAAUGAGAAGUAUAAUUUUAAAAAAUUAGCUUCAACCAAUGAGAAUACUUCUCAAGUCCCAAAUUUGGUAAUACCAAAAUUCUGAAAUUCAUUCCGACCCUCACCGAAAACAAUAAUAAAUUUUGGCAUAAUUGCAAUAGAUAGGGGGCAGGGGCAAUAAUGUACUUGCAGUCCCAAAAAGACACAUCGACCGCCAAAAACCCUAGGGAUAGGGAGCGGGUACUCUCUUGUUUCUAACAUGAAUCAAUGAUGGAAAUUCACGUGCCCCCUUCAUUGUCGCUUCAAUUUCUCUCUCCCCAUUUUAGCUUUCCAUUAAAACAAUCAAUCAAUUGAAUGAUUUUAAGUUUCUAGGGUUUCAAUUGAUUCAUCGGAAGCAAAUAAAAAGGACUCGUUUCGAACACUUUAAUUUAUUUGCGUCUUUCACAAAUUCAAGAACGAAACGACAUGUCCAAGAGGUGAUCUUCUUCUUCAAUUCCUUUCAGUUUUGUUUAAUAUUGCUUUUAGAUCGUAGUUUCUGUUUAGCUAAUCUAAAAUUUAUUGCCUUUUUAUGCUUGGUUGCUGCGAAAAUAUACGCGUUUGAAGAAUGUUAUAAUUUAGCUAUUACUGAUUUAUGAAUUGACUUUGUAGCUAUUAAUGAUCUCAUUGCAUUAGGUAUCUGCCCCUUGUGGUCUUGCUUAUUUCUUGGUAUAAGGUACUGUUAUUGUCAUAAUAAUAUCUUGUGGCUCUUCGAUUCUUUCAGGGUCCUUUGCAAGUUCUUUGCUCAUGGAGCAUGUCUGAAAGGCGAGCAUUGUGAAUUUUCACAUGAUUGGAAGGAUCCACCAAAUAAUGUAAAAGUCUCUUGUUCUAUCACUUUUUUCACUUGGUUAUUGACGUUUGUUUAACUGAUUGCUUUUUUAAUCCAAAAAUUGUUUCUUAUGGUUUGUUAAUUGUUAUCUUAGAUAUGCACUUAUUAUCAGAAAGGGUUCUGCUCUUAUGCUAGUCGGUGCAGAUAUGAGCAUGUCAAACCUUCUCGGUCAGAGUCGGCUGCUUCAUCUUCCUCAUCAGUUUCUCAUCCUUCAAGAGCUACAUCAAGUGGGAUAACUAAAGUUCCAGGUGUCAUGCCAGAGCUAUCUGCACUGAGUAGACCUUUUCUUCCUCCUAAUAAGACAGCAUGGAAUCCGGAGUCUGUGUGCAAUGAUUCUUUAGAGAAUGAUGAGGUUGACGAGCCCAGGAAUCUAAAACCUGCUGACCGUUCUAUCUGUUCAUUUGCUGCUGCUGGUAAUUGUCCUCGUGGGGAAAAAUGUCCUCAUAUUCAUGGAGACACAUGCCCAACUUGUGGGAAGCAAUGCUUGCAUCCUUUCAGACCUGAAGAAAGAGAAGAGCAUAUGAAAUCUUGUGAGAAAAAGCAAAAGCACCUUGAAGCUCUAAGACGUAGCCAAGAAAUUGAAUGCAGUGUGUGUUUGGAUCGUGUAUUAUCAAAGCCUACGGCAGCUGAACGAAAAUUUGGGUUGCUAUCUGAAUGUGAUCAUCCAUUCUGUAUAUCCUGUAUCAGGAAUUGGCGUAGUAGUUCUCCAACCUCUGGAAUGGAUGUCAAUACUGCACUGAGGGCUUGUCCAAUUUGCCGGAAGCUAUCAUAUUUUGUAAUUCCAAGUGUCAUUUGGUAUUACACACCAGAAGAAAAACAGGAAAUUAUUGAUAGCUACAAGUCGAAACUCAAGUAAUUCUGGAAUCUAUUGACCCAUUGCUCAUCAUUGUUUUCUAAUUUAUUGUUAUGCAUUUUACACGAUUUUAGACAAUUUUUUUAAAAUUUUACAGCAGGGCAGUUUACAUAAUUAUAGACUUGAGGUGCUUUUCUUUUAGUCAUGGCUUUGGACAUAACCUUUUUUUUUUUUUGGUUUCGUUUCUUGCAGGUCAAUCGAUUGCAAGCACUUUAACUUUGGUAAUGGCAACUGCCCAUUUGGAACUAGUUGUUUCUACAAGGUAACUUAACUGUCAAUAUCAGUUGCAGCUAUGUAGUUAUUUAUUUUUACCCUUUUACCCCUUAGUAGUGUGAAGCUGGUUAUAAAUGCUUGUUGAAGGCAUGAAAUUUUGCAAGUUCUUUAUUAUUGCUAUGCUGUUUUCCUCCUCUUUUAUGUUCAAUGAGUGUCAAUUGGAUGUCUUUUUCGGUGCUUUAAUUUUUCUUUUUUUUUCCCCCCUGAUCAAAGAUCAGGGAAAUAAUGUUUUCGAAAUCUGUAUCAUGUGCUGUAGGUGAAUGCUAUGGUAGGGUUUUAGUCAUUUGGAUGAUCAUUUUGAACUCAACAACUGGGCUUUUGAGCCAAUAAAGCAUUUGUAUCAGUGAACAUGAGUUCAGCCCAUGACCUCAAUUUGGGAGUUCAGUGUGAAAACUUAUUUUGAAACAGGAGUUCUGGUCCCAGCUAUGUAUGGGAGUAACAUUGCUGUUGGAGAGUGGGAAAUGUCUAUAUACUGUAUGUCAGAUCCAUAUCCAUUUCCACGUCUGCUAUAUAAUAAGGGUGUGUUGUUAUCUUUUCAUGUGGCUUUAAAGAUCUUGUCUUGUGCUAUGUUUGUUUUGUUAUAAUUCAUGUCCAUGCGAAAUCUGUCAAGGUCAGUUAUUUAGCUCUUCAACAAUUGGUACAACGUUGCCAUGUUAAGAUUUGAAUUGGCCAAAAGAGCAUGAAAAUGAAAGAUGGGACUGAAAUGGAGCAAGUCUGUUACUCUUGAUUAGUUAUGGUAAUGUAGAAGGUGGAUGUUGGUAAUCUUAAGAAUUUUCUUGGAGUUAAAAGGCAACAAUAGUUUGCAGUGCUUUGGAGAAAGUGUUAUUACAAUAAUCAAAUUGAAAUACAUUUUAAAAUAUGUUGAAUCUCAUUGUUGAGGGUAGUGAAAUUCGUACCACCCUUAUGUCUGUGCCGCCAUCUCUCCCUCUCUUCUUGAGUUAUUGUAGUAAUCAGUUUAUGUUGCAUUUUUUUUUUCCUUGUAAUGAUUUUCAUUGAUAGUUGUAGAAUACGUGUAGAGCAUAAAUGUGCUGUUUGUUUUAUCAGUCGCAUCUAUUUGCUGCUGUUCCUUGAGGUUCUGUUGAAAUGGAUCACCUGAGUAAUGACUUCUCUGUUCCAAGUGUUGUGCGCCAUAUGUUCUUCCUUUUUUUUUUUCAUUUAUUUAUUUUCAUAGCUACUAGUAGCAGAGAACGUUGGCUUUAUGUCUCCAUUAAUAGAUAUAAUGUUGUGUUGUGUUCCAGCAUAUGGUCAAGCCUGGUUCUUACAUGUGGAAAUAUCACAGGCCACCUCCACGCAGGCCACCUCCAUUCAGGCCACCUCCAUCAAGAUCCAAUGUUGUGGAUAUGGAUUCAUUUAUUGAUGCGUUCGGGGACUUACUUGGGGAAGAUGAACCUGAUUUUUUUGAUGCUGAAAAUGAAGUUAGAAUGGCUUUGGAUGUGGAGAUGGCUUUGUUAUUAACGCAACUAGAUUUUGACUCAAGUGACUCGAGUGAUUAUGAGAGUUAUUUAGAUUAAGUUAUUAGAACUCGCUAUGAUAUCUCUAGUCCAUUCUGUGUUGGACAUUUGAGUUGUCGUUCAUCUUGGUGUUUUGAUAGUCCACUACAUUUUGCAUCAUGGAAUAAGAUGAAGCUUUUGGUUUGUUUCCUUUGAAUAUAUAAUGAAUUCUAGUUUAUUAUGGUUUGGAUUUCUCUCUCUAGUGGAAUUUAGUAGUAAGUUGAUGUUGGCAUUGUCUUGCCUGGAAAUUAUGUGUAUGAUUUUCUGACGCCUGUUGCUAACCAUUGAUUACUAUUCAUCUGUGAAGUUUUGGCUGUUAUUUGGUUGUGUUUAUUGACAUUCCAUCUUUGCAGCAUGCCUAUACAGAUGGUCGUUUGGAGGAAGUUGUUCUGCGUCACCUUGGGUCAGACGAUGGAAGCACUGUGAUAGCUAAAGAUAUCAGGUUCACUAAUUUAUCUCAAUUAACAGUUACUCUGGUUUAAAAGCUCAUUUUUCUUUUAUCUUUUUUGAAAUAUAUUUUCCUACUAAAUUUUUUCAGGUUGUCAGAGUUCCUUACUAAUAUGCACAUAAGGUGAAAAGAGUUGUUAAAGCAUUCCAGCGUAAGUUAUCAAGAAAUGAAUCCUCUUUUGUGUUUUCAACAACUAAUUAAGUGCAGUGGCAUCCUAGGCAUUUGGUAAUCAACAAUGGCAUUGACUACGGUCCAUCUAGAGAUAUCACUUACUCAUUUAAUUUAACAUUUAUGAGAAGUCUCCAGUUAUAGCAACCUGUCAUAUGCAUAGUUAUGGCUUGCUGACACCCUUUCUUCAUGUAUGCAGGAUAUCUAAUAAUGUCAAGAUAUAUUAGCAACAUUGAUGUGGAAGUCGUCCUACAUAGUCAGUGUCAUGCUCUUGUAAUCUUUUGAGGUAAGGUGCAGUUAUCUGAUAUUCUAUGGCUUUUUAACUUCUGGUAACACAAUCAUGAUAUUCUAUGUGUUCAAUUGUGGAGAUUGAAAGAAUCAGUUUUGAUGAAACUGUAUUUGGAAAGCAUUUAGAUUAACAAAAACUUGUUCAAUUAUGUAUGCCCUGCAAUUUCAUUCUUGUGAUUCUUGGAAUUCAGAAUAUUUGUGAUUGUUGACAAUUUGCACUCUCUAUUAGGUGUAUACUGAAGCAAUAACUGUUAUGGAUGCAUGUACAUUGUUUAUCACAUUCUCUGCUCUGUUCAGCUCGUGUAUGGUGCCAAAUGCAGGAUUGCUGGCCAGUUGCCUGAGGGGACCUUCAUGUGGAAAGCUUGAGCAUGCUGGAUUGUAUAACAAACUGCAGAUUAUAUGACCUUGAAUUACAUAAUAAUAGAAAAAACUGAUGGAUGGGUGAAUUUAUUCGAAUUUGAAAUAACAGAUGUGUCAGUUGCAGUGUUUCUUACCCACUUGGCUUCUUGUCCCCAAAAGUGAGAAAUUAGAGACUGUCUGCUUUCAGUAUUUGAUUGUUACAGUAAUAGAAUGUAAAUGCAUGGAGUGACGAAAUACUUUCUGGAGUCGUCAUUCAUUUUGCAGAGUGUUGUAUGCAAGUUUGAAAUCUAUAUGGAACUACACAAAAGCUUCUACUUGAAUUUUGUGUUCUUGUUUCAAAGCAUAUGUUAAAGAUUACACUGUUUUGCGCAUGCAAGGGAAAAAUUACACAAUUGUUUUGGCGUUUAUCAUUGGAAGUGGCUCGCUCGGUGACUGAAUUUUACAAUUUUCUUGAUGUCUGUGUUACCUCGAUGGAUAAUACAGGAAAAAUAAAUAUAUUCCUAAUUCCAUCAGAAAAAAUAAAAUAAAAAGAAUUUCUGCCGGUUGAAAAAGUAUUUUUCCGUUCACAUUAAAUUUUCGACCUUUCUUUGUCCGCUAGGAGAAACAACAAAAAAGGGGGAAAAAAAAGAAUAUUCUUCCAAAUGAUUAUUCUGUUUAAUAACAAGAGAUUUUUAAUAAACCAAUAAAAAAGAAAUUAAUAAAAUUCAAUUUGCUUUUUCCAAUUUCUUGUCCCACCACCACAAGGACAUAAAGAGGAGUUGAAUGAAAUGGAGUAAGAAUUUGACGAGUUCCUACACAUAUAUGUGUAUAUGUACACACAUGUCAUAUACGGUUUUGCUCAAACUGCAGGCGUGCAAUUUUUCUUGUUCAUUGAUUCAAAUUUCAGUUUCACUUCUUCAGCUCAUAUGUGAGCGCACAAACAGGAUUUGGAAGUUACCAACUUGUUUUUUUUUUUUUUUUGGGCCCCCUAAUUUGGUACAAUUCAACCGGUAUUUUACAAUUAAAAUUUGUAUUUAACCCUUACCAAAAAAAUAUAAUAAUAAAUUUUAGACGCAAUAAUGAGUUAGACAUGUCCUCUACUCUUCGUAAUUUUCUGUCAUAUGUCUAUGUAAAAUAUUAUUAUACGAUUGAGAUUUAAUUAAUUCUAUUUCCGUCUAAUAACUACCAAUUCUAUAUUUAUAAAAGGUUAGCAAAAAAGAACAAUUCAAUUUUAAUAAUAAUUCUCCUGAUUUUAAUCAGAGAAAAUAACAGGAUGAAAAAUUAAAACCCCUUUUUAAUUAAUUUAUCUUCAAUUUAUUAAAUAAUUAAUCAUCAACUUGUGGCUGCGGUGUUUGUAAACCCAAUUGCUUCUAAUAAAUCUCUGAUCUGCACUUAAAUAAUUCAACAACAUUUUUAUGAAGCCAAGUCCCAUUCACACCACAUGAAACUCCCAUAAGAAGUCAAGAACAAAGAGAAAGGAUCAGAGGAUAAACAAAUUAUAUAUAAAAUAAUAUAAAAUCUCUUUUAUUAUUCAACCGUAUAUAACAAAUAUGUAAGGAUGGCUAUAUACAAUAUAGUAUAACAACAACGAAUAAUAAUCAAUAGUGAAUACAAAUAAUAUUAGCCCCAAAAUCUCAAUAAUAAUAAUAAUAACAGCCCAUCAUCAACAAAAAGAAAAAGAAGAAGAAGAAGAAAAAAGCGAGUGUCUCAAAAACAGAGAGUACAAAAGGAGCCCGAAAAACAAUAUAAUGAAUAGAAACUCAAUGGUUGAGGAAAGCAAGAGCAGACAAGAAGAAAGAAGAGCAAAUGAGGGCCCCAGAAAGCCCCGUAGAAUAAGAAGCAGCUCCCUUGUCCAUGGAUGGUGCCGGCGCAGGUGCCGGUUCUUGAGCAGAAACAACAGCCACAGCAUAAACCGCCAUCACAAAAAUCAAAGCAACUCUAUUAAUCUUCUUCAUUGCUGCCAUUUUUAUGAAAUGCGAGGGGAAGAUGGGAAGGGUCUGGGCUUUUGCUUAGCGAGAUCGUUGAAGACGUCGAUGAUAAUCAACACGAUGAGUGAGAGGAAGCG
RNAcentral lists this long non-coding RNA (39431 nucleotides) under Citrus sinensis (sweet orange). RNAcentral describes it as "long non-coding RNA (CSIN_LNC002776)". The record is from RNAcentral. Lineage: Eukaryota; Viridiplantae; Streptophyta; Magnoliopsida; Sapindales; Rutaceae.